CACACACACACAUACAUGCAUUAACAAAUACACAAUGAAGCGUAAACAUUGAAUGCGUGCUCCAAGUGGGCCAUUUUUGGUAAGCAGAACUGGCGCUGUGGGAUGAACCAAACGUCGAGAUAAAGUGCCUAACUUUCCGCUCAUGAGAUCCCAUGAAAGGCGUUGGUUGAUAUAGACAGCAGGACGGUGGCCAUGGAAGUCGGAAACCGCUAAGGAGUGUGUAACAACUCACCUGCCGAAUCAACUAGCCCUGAAAAUGGAUGGCGCUUGAGCGGAAGACUUAUACUCGACCGUUGCUUGGCUUGUGUACACAGGUUUUUGGGAUACUAAAUUGAUGCGCUUAUAUCAAAUUUAGUAAUCCAACUCGAAGCAGCAUAAGUUACCUGGCCGCAACGAGUAAGAGGGUCGCAGUGGUUUGCGUUGAAGAUUUUGGGCGUAGGCCCAAUCGGAGCUUCCACUGGUGCAGAUCUUGGUGGUAGUAGCAAAUAUUCAAGUGAGAUCCUUGAAGACUGAAGUGGAGAAGGGUUCCUCGUGAACAGCAGUUGGAUGCGGGUCAGUCGAUCCUAAGAUAUUGGCUAAUGCCAUUUGUGAGAAUCGAGAGACGGAGAUCAAAAAAAUCCAUCUCGGCAAUCGAAAGGGAAACGGGUUUAUAUUCCCGUACCUGGACACGGAGAUUAAAUAUCCCACAUUGUGUGGAUAUUUAGCGCGGUAACGCAAACGAACUCGGAGACAUUGAGUAGAGCCCGAGCCAGAGUUCUCUUUUCUGGUUAAGGAACGGACUCCCUGGAAGCGGUUCAGCCGGCGAUAGGGACGUUGUUUCCGUAAAGCGCCACGGUUCCUGUGGCGUCUCGUGCACUCUGCUUGAUCCAUGAAAAUCCGAGGGAGGCAAUUUGAAUUUCGUGCCAGAUCGUACCGAUAUCCGCAGCAGGUCUCCAAGGUGAACAGCCUCUAGUCGAUAGAAUAAUGUAGGUAAGGGAAGUCGGCAAAUUAGAUCCGUAACUUCGGGAAAAGGAUUGGCUCUAAGGACUGGGUCGGUCGGGCUGCAGCGUGAAGUGAGUGCGGUUUGAUCCGUGCAGUGCUAACGCUAAUUGUUUGCAUAAAAUCUUUUUUUUUU
This 1114-nucleotide ribosomal RNA is filed under the name Chevreuxia revoluta. RNAcentral describes it as "partial large subunit ribosomal RNA". It matches the Rfam family "Eukaryotic large subunit ribosomal RNA", at positions 1059 to 2085 of the family's 3401-position model. The record is from RNAcentral. Lineage: Eukaryota; Metazoa; Nematoda; Chromadorea; Rhabditida; Acuariidae.